GCUUUCCUGACUAUAAAACAGGCUGUUCGUCUCUGCAUUCCAUUACAUGUUCCAACAACAAUAGUAAAUUCAUCUAUUGAGAAAAAUUUGAAAACCAGGAAGAAAUGCAGAAAUUAUUGUUCGUCCUGAUGUUCCUUGUAUUUACCUACCAGGUUGAAGGAUGGCUUUUUAGAGGGCGUAGUAGAAUUAGAAUAAGCACCGCCAAAAACUGUUUCUGUAAAGCUGUAGAUGCAGACACCCAUAAACUACUUCACGAUUUUGGAUCAAUCCAAGGUUGUCGCGGCUUGUUUAGGUGUAGUUGUCGACACACAAAUAUGGUAACAUGUGGUGACGCGUGUGAUAGAAGAGUUACCAAUUGGUUAAAAACCCAUGGAUGGACAUGUACAUUUGCUAGGACAGAAUACACAGCAAGCACAUGUGGAUCAGCAUAUGGCCAUCAUAGAAAGCAUUGUUAAGCCAAUAAUACAGCAUUCGACAAGGUGAAUUUGGAUUGUUUAAUUAAUAAACAACAUCAA
Long non-coding RNA from Mytilus trossulus (common blue mussel), 515 nucleotides. RefSeq lists it as uncharacterized. The record is from RefSeq and is a predicted model, not a curated record. NCBI's taxonomy places the organism in Eukaryota, Metazoa, Mollusca, Bivalvia, Mytilida, Mytilidae. The transcript has 3 exons.